AUGUCAAAUUCAAGAAGUAAUAUAGAAACAUCUGAUACAUCAACCACAACAGCAGAUCAAAUCACAACAGCUGCUUGGACAACAAGUUUUGAUGCCACAUCCACCUCACCUGUAUUCUCAACUGUUGAGUCAACCUCUACACAUAUUGAAGAAAACGUUACUUUAUCACCUGAUACAUCAACCACAGAUGCAGCUCAAACCACAACAACGGCUGGGUCAACAACAAAAACCUAUGAUGGCACAAUUGUAUCCUCAAAUGCUGAAUCAACAUCAACAGAUCCAGUCACAGUAACUGCAGUAACUUAUACAGAAAAAAACACAGCUCAAUCCAUAACAACUGCUGGAUCAGCAACAGUAACUUUUGAUUCCAGAUCCACCUCAUUAGUAUCCUCAACUGUGGAGUCAACCUCAACAAAUAAUAGAGAAACAACGACUACAGCACUUGAUUUAGCAACAAGAGCAAUGCCUGAACUCAUAACAGCUGCUGGGGCAACCACAUCUUUUAAUGCCACUUCUUCCUCACCCAUUUUCUCAUCUGUUCAGCCAGUCCUUACAAGUGAUGUAAAAACAAUGACUUUGGCACCUGAUACAUCAACAACAACUACAGCUCAAUUCACAACAGCUGCCAGGGCAUCAAAAGCAACAACCUUUGGUGCCACAUACACAUCAUUAGUAUCCUCAACUGUGGAGACAACUUCAACAAGUAAUACAGAAACUGUUUUUUUGGCACCAGACACAACUAUAGCUCAAUUAACAACAGCUGCUGGGUCAGUAACAAAAACAGCUUCUGCUACCACAUCCACCUCAUGGGUGUCCUCAACUGUGGAGUCAACUUCAGCAAAUACCUCAGAAACAAUGACUACAGCACCUGAUACAGCAACUGGAACUGUGUCCGAAUCCACAACAGCCACUGGGGUAACAACAACAUCUUAUGAUGUCACAUCCACCUCACCAGUUUUCUCAACUUUAGGAUCUCAAUCAAAAAUAAAUGCAGACACAAUGUCUUUAGGACCUGAUACACAAACCACAACUACAACUCAAUCCUCAACAUCUUCUGGAGCAGCAGCAGUAACAACCUUUGAUGUCAAUUCCACAUCAAUGUUAUCCUCUACUGUGGUGUCAAAUUCAACAAGUACGAUAGAAACAUCUGAUACAACAACCACAGCUGCAGAUCAAACCACAACAGCUGCUGGGACAACACGUUUUGAUGCCACAUCCACCUCAGCAAAAUUCACAACUGUUAAGUCAAACUCUACAAGUACUGUGGAAACUGUUUCUUUAACACCUAAUAACACCACAGCUGCAGCUCAAACCACAGCAACUGUUGGGGCAACACCAAAAACCUUUGAUGGUACAUCCACCUCAUCACUUUCCUCAAUUGUAGAAUUGACCUCAACAACUGAGACAGACACUGUAACUACAGCACCUGAUACAGAAACAACUACAGCCCAUGCCACAACAACUUCUGGGGCAGCAACAAUAAAUUUUGACUUCACUUCCACCUCAUCGGUAUCAUCAACUAUGGAGUCAACCUCAACAAGUACAGCAGAAACAAUGACUACAACACUUGAUUUAGCAACAAGAGCUAUGCCUGAAACCAUAACAGCUGCUGAGACAACAAUGCCUUCUGAUGCCACGUCCACCUCAUCUGUAUCUUCAUCUGUGGGGUCAACCUCAACAAGUAAUUCAGAAACAAUGACUUCUGCUUAUGCCUUUCCAACCACAAGUAACAAAACAGCUGCUGGAGUAGCAUUAACCUAUAAUACCCUAUCCACCUCAUCAGUGUCCUCAAUUGUGGAUUCAACUUCAAUAACUAAUGCAGACACAACAACUACAGCACUUGAUACAACAAAUACAACUAUGACUGAAACCACAACAACAGCGGAGGCAACAACAUUACGUAAUGGGGAUGUUAGCAUAGCAGUUGCUCCAGUAACAACUGCUGAUGCAACAUCACAAAGUUUAAAUGCACCAACCACAACUUUUCCUGAAACAAAGUUUGAUGCAACCACAAAAAAUUUAGAGGCAGCAGCCACUUCUCCAAAAUUCUCAAAUAUGGAAUGGACUUCAGCAACUUAUCCAGUCAACACAACUAUGGUUGAAACAAUACUAGACCUUUCAAAAACAACCACCAGUGCAACAACAACUAUUUUUGAUGCACAAACCACCUCUUUACCACUACCAACUGUUGCACAAACAUUAGCUCAUGUAACAACCACAACUCUGCCGGCCAACACAGCUUUUGCUGCAACCACAACAAAUACGGACAUUUCAACUUUUCCAAAAAUCUCAACUGCUGCACCAAAAACAACAUCUGAUGAAGCAUCCACAACUACAAUUGAGCCUUUUUUAACUAAUCAUACAACACUGGCACAUUUGGCAGCCACACCCACCUAUACAGCAUCCUCAACUUCAGAAACAACAUCUACAAUUGAUGCACCAACCACCACUAUGUCUGAACCAGUAACAAAUAUUAGUGUAACAGCAGGUUUGGAUACCACAACAACAUUUUCAGCACCCUCAGGUAUAGCAUCAAAGUUAACAGAUGCUGCAACUGUUCUUGUGAACACAACAACAACUUUAGAUGCCGCAGCUACUAUUUCACCAUCCUCAAAUGCAACUGAAAUGUCAGCAACUCAUCCUGCAACCAUAGCAAUACCAGUAAACACAACUAAUGAUGAUACAUCAACAGCUUUGGAUGAUACAACCACUCAAAUAUCCUCAACAGAAGCACCAAUUUCAACUACAGAUGAAGCAACCACAGUUACAACUGAAACCACAACUUAUAUUGGUGGAACAACAAUAACUUUGAAUGCCACAAUUAAUCCAUCUGUAUUUUCGACAACCAUUAGUGCAACAACUUUGGCUGAAGAAAGCAACCUUCCAUCAGCUUUAAAUGAAACAGAGAUGUCGACAACUAAUGCAUCAAUUACAACUGUGCCUGAAACUACAACAAACCUUCAAACAACAACUUCAGAUAAAGGAUUAUCCAAUUUUGCUGUAACAACAAGACCUGAAACAUCCUCAUUUCCAACAACUAAUUCUAAAAUCACUACAGAAAUUGGUUUCACAACAACACCUUCAACCACACUUAAAUCUUCAUCAACGAUUGCUCCACAAUCAACAACAGAUGUGGCAACAACUUCAGUCCAACCAACAACAUCUGGUCUUAAAUUAAAUACAAAUUCUCCAACCUCCUCACCAUUAACACCAAUGUUGGCAACUGAAUCAGCAACCACAACUAUGUCUGAAACCACAUCAGCUAUUAGUGUGGCAACCGAAACUUUGGAUACUAACAAUACAUUGGCUACAAAUCCACCAACAACUACUAUUUUGGCUGAAACCAUUUUACCUCCUACAACUACUGCCACAACGACAACUCCAGUUCCAGUAACUCAAAAUCCCAUAGAAGCACCAACUGUGAUUGGGACAGUGAUCAUUUACAUCCAGCUCAUAUUCGUCACACUGGGCCCCAUACCAAGCGAGAAUACAAUAAUGCAGUUGGUUAACUCUAUGCUGGACUCACGUUUCAGAAUCAAACGAGAUGUAGGAGCACAAAGCCUGAACACCCCUGUGAGCAUUGUGAAUGUUACUUAUACAAAAAUUUCUGACAAAUCAUAUGCCCUGAAUUUUGGAUUUGGAAUCGCCAAUGUUUCCAUGUCUGAGAAAAUUGAACUCAGGAAUGAAACAUACAAGUUAAUCCAGGAGUCUGUAAAUAAACUGCUGAACCAAAUCCUAAAUAACCCCACAGCCACUCCAUUUGUGUUCAAAAAUGUCAAUUUCACGGGUAAUUCCACCUCUAUCCAGGCAAGUGUGUACUAUGUAUUCUCAGAAAGUGACAUCACACAACCCAACGCCUUUAUUAGUGCCCUUCUUGUGGUUAACAAAGAUGCAGUUACCACACCUCCACCAACAACCACCACCUAUUACUCCAUAGUGCUGAACACUACAGUCCCAAGCAACAGCACAAAUGCAGCAUGGGUUGUGGCCAUAAUUGUACCCUGUGCAAUCGUUAUCAUCCUCGUACCUUGCUGGAUUCUACUGUGUUGUUUGCUCUGUGGUUGCUGCACAUCAAUAAGACGACGAUGGCGCAGAAGAAGAGGCUCAUACAAUCUGCAACACACAGCCCAAACCAGCUUCUUAUAGACAACUGGAGAACAAUUUCAAGAAGAGGAAUACAUCAUGACAAAAUUAAUUACACUGAUCACUUCUGUUUUUUUCUAUAAUGAAUACGCUAUCUUUUUAAUUGUAAAAUGCACUAUUUAUUUAUUGUAUCAAUUUUGCUGUACAGACGUGCUCCUAAAUUUUCAUAAAUGUAAUUUAUUUUCAGAAUUGUAUUACCCAGUAAUUAAAUGUAUUUAAUAAGAGUGUGAGGUUCAACCUCUGUAAAUUUUAGAACCAUUACUCCCUAAUUAAUUUAUUUGACAUUACUCAUUUCAUUUCAUGGGGCUAUAUUGAUUGUGUUUAACUUAUUUACAAUUAGAUUAACUUUAUUUUUGUGUAACUCAAAAAAGUCAUUGUGUGCUUAUAAAUGUAAAAUAAUAUAUUUAGAAAUAGAUGUAUAUAUAUAUAUAUAUAUAAUAUGUAAAAUAGCAGCAAUAUACGCACACAGCUUGACAUAAUUUUUAAAUUUUUUUUCUGUAUAAGUGCAUGUCUUAACGAUCACUUCUGUUAGUAAUGAUCACCUCUGUAACUUUGCUAACAGGUGCUAAAGAGAAAUUCAGUUAGAAAAGUCAAACUUUUUCAUCUAUUCAUAUAUAUUCAAUUUAUCUACAGUACCAAGUACCAUUUAUGUAUAAUCAAGUGACUAAUGAUAAUCUAAUGCAAACUCUAAACUCUUUCAUUCAUCUUUGACGAUAAUCUGAUGCAAACUUAAUAAAAAUUUUCAUUGUUAAACAUUGAUGUUUAUUUUCAUUGCAUUUUUUUUACAAUAAUGAAUAUGUUAAAGUUGUUGUGCAGUUUAAAAAAACUCUGUUACAACCAUGUCAAUUUUUUUCUUUAACAAACAUUAAUAUAAUGUCGAGAAUCACUAUGUUGAUCGUUAAAAAGAAAUAAAAUUGUCACCUUUUGCCUUAAUGCCAUUCUUAAGCCUGUUUGCUUCUAUGAAUUUUUGUUUAAGAUAAACUAAGACAAAAUACAAAGAAAGGAAAGAAAUGAGAAAAAAUGUUUUUGUCAAAUAUAUAAUUGGCUAAUACAGAAAUUAGUUUACUGACAGAGAUGGAACUAAAGAAAGGCAAACAACAACACAGUCCAACAAUAGGGGGAAACAGUGAGCUGUGCCGGGCAAUUGUGGGUGAGCGCUGAAUCAGCCUUGACUACAAGGGAGUUGCUGAGAAAUAGCAGGUGGUGAAAACCCGCACCAACAUUAUGAAGCUGCAGGCCCCAAGUGGUGCUCGCUGCAGAGCCAUUUGAGGAGAGCUGAGCUAACCGCGCUUAGAUCUGCUCGCUCAGACAGCUAGACCUGCACUUCCAGACGUUCACAGUGCCACCUGCUGUUUAAAAGAUCGACUAAACUGAAUUCCGCUGCUUCUAAAUUGUAAUUUAAACAGUUUUUUUCUACUAUAAAAUAUUACUCUAUGAUUGAAUACAUUAUUAUAUGAAAUAUUAAAUAUACUAGAUUUUGAUUUAAUGCAUUGAUUCUGUUGUAUUUUUUUUCAUUGCAUUUGUAAAUAGAUUUUGUUCAGUUACUUUAUAUUUUCAGACAAUUUUUUGUCCUUUUUUAUUCAUUAAGGAUUUAUCACUGUUUCGUAUUGAGUUGAGAGAAUUAAUAUUAUCUUC
Molecule: long non-coding RNA, 5778 nt
Filed under: Danio rerio (zebrafish)
Lineage: Eukaryota; Metazoa; Chordata; Actinopteri; Cypriniformes; Danionidae
Description: lncRNA (ENSDARG00000117231.1)
Source: RNAcentral